Molecule: transfer RNA, 74 nt
Filed under: Komagataella phaffii GS115
Lineage: Eukaryota; Fungi; Ascomycota; Pichiomycetes; Pichiales; Pichiaceae
Also listed under: 1 other name
Description: tRNA-Tyr (GTA) (tRNA-Tyr-GTA-3-1)
Rfam family: tRNA
About the family: Transfer RNA (tRNA) molecules are approximately 80 nucleotides in length.
Source: RNAcentral
CUCCUGGUGGCCAAGUUGGCUAAGGCGCGAGACUGUAAAUCUUGAGAUCGGGUGUUCGAAUCACCCCCAGGAGA